AGAAUCAACGCUGGCGGCGUGCCUAACACAUGCAAGUCGAACGAGAAAGGGUAGCAAUACCUGAGUAAAGUGGCGCACGGGUGAGUAACACGUGACUAACCUACCCUGGAGUGGGGGAUAACUGAGGGAAACCUUAGCUAAUACCGCAUAAUACCUACGGGUCAAAGGAGCAAUUCGCUUCAGGAGGGGGUCGCGGCCGAUUAGUUAGUUGGCGGGGUAAUGGCCCACCAAGACGAUGAUCGGUAUCCGGCCUGAGAGGGCGCACGGACACACUGGAACUGAAACACGGUCCAGACUCCUACGGGAGGCAGCAGUGGGGAAUUUUGCGCAAUGGGGGAAACCCUGACGCAGCAACGCCGCGUGGAGGAUGAAGCCCCUUGGGGUGUAAACUCCUUUCGAUCGGGACGAUUAUGACGGUACCGGAUGAAGAAGCACCGGCUAACUCUGUGCCAGCAGCCGC
This 460-nucleotide ribosomal RNA is filed under the name uncultured bacterium. Its description in RNAcentral is "SSU rRNA". It matches the Rfam family "Bacterial small subunit ribosomal RNA", at positions 26 to 518 of the family's 1533-position model. The record is from RNAcentral.